This 383-nucleotide ribosomal RNA is filed under the name uncultured eukaryote. RNAcentral describes it as "partial 18S ribosomal RNA". It matches the Rfam family "Eukaryotic small subunit ribosomal RNA", at positions 592 to 976 of the family's 1831-position model. The record is from RNAcentral.
CAAUAGCGUAUAUUAAAGUUGUUGCGGUUAAAAAGCUCGUAGUUGGAUCUCGGCAGGCAGGGGGUGGUUCGCUCUUAGCGCUACUGCCCCAUUUGCCUGUGUGAUUGGCGGAGGUUUCGGGGUGCUCUUCGUUGAGUGACCCGGGGCGCCGUCAGGUUUACUUUGAAAAAAUUAGAGUGCUCAAAGCAGACUUUUCACGCUUGAAUAUUCGUGCAUGGAAUAAUGGAAUAGGAACUCGUUUCUAUUUUGUUGGUUUUCGGAAAUCGAGUUAAUGAUUAAUAGGGACAAUUGGGGGCAUUAGUAUUCAGACGACAGAGGUGAAAUUCUUGGACCGUCUGAAGACUAACUACUGCGAAAGCAUUUGCCAAGAGUGUUUUCAUUAA